GCUUGAGCACGUAGGUGGGUUUGUAAGUCAGAUGUGAAAGCCUUCUGUUCAACGGAAGAAUUGCAUCUGAAACUGCGAGUCUUGAGUGUAGGAGGGGAGGAUGGAACUUCUGGUGGAGCGGUGAAAUGCGUAGAUAUCAGAAGGAACGCCGGCGGCGAAAGCGAUUCUCUGGCCUAUUACUGACACUCAGUGUGCGAAAGCUAGGGGAGCAAACGGGAUUAGAUACCCCGGUAGUCCUAGCCGUAAACGAUGGGCACUAAGUAGAGGGGAUUACCGAUAUUCUCUCUGCCGUAGCUAACGCAUUAAGUGCCCCGCCUGGGGAGUACGGCCGCAAGGCUAAAACUCAAAAGAAUUGACGGGGGCUCGCACAAGCGGUGGAGCAUGUGGCUUAAUUCGAUGCAACGCGAAAAACCUUACCGGGGCUUGACAUGGUAGAAGUAGGAACCCGAAAGGGUAACGAACGGUAUCCAGUCCGUAGCUAUUACAGGUGUUGCAUGGCUGUCGUCAGCUCGUGUCGUGAGACGUCGGGUUAAGUCCCCUAACGAGCGAAACCCUUGUUUUUAGUUGCCACCGGGUUGUGCCGGGCACUCUAGAAAGACUGCCGUCGUCAAGACGGGGGAAGGUGGGGAGGACGUCAAGUCAUCAUGGCCCUUAUGCCCCGGGCUGCACACGUGCUAGAAUGGUCGGUACAAACGGAAGCGAAGCCGAGAGGUGAAGCGAAUCCAAGCG
RNAcentral lists this ribosomal RNA (729 nucleotides) under uncultured Planctomycetota bacterium. RNAcentral's name for it is "bacterial SSU rRNA". It matches the Rfam family "Bacterial small subunit ribosomal RNA", at positions 558 to 1279 of the family's 1533-position model. Lineage: Bacteria; Pseudomonadati; Planctomycetota. The record is from RNAcentral.